This 496-nucleotide ribosomal RNA is filed under the name uncultured bacterium. RNAcentral describes it as "partial 16S ribosomal RNA". It matches the Rfam family "Bacterial small subunit ribosomal RNA", at positions 28 to 507 of the family's 1533-position model. The record is from RNAcentral.
GAUGAACGCUGGCGGCGUGCCUAAUACAUGCAAGUCGAGCGAACAGACGGGGAGAUUGCUCCUUUGCCGUUAGCGGCGGACGGGUGAGUAACACGUGGAUAACCUACUUCUAAGACUGGGAUAACUUCGGGAAACCGGAGCUACUAACGGCUAAUAUAUUGAACGGCAUGGUUCAAUAGUGCAUGACGGUUUUGCUGUUACUUAUAGCUGGAUUCGCGUCGCCUUAGCUAGUUGGUAAGGUAACGGCUUACCAAGGAAACGAUGCGUAGCCGACCUGAGAGGGUGAUCGGCCACACUGGAACUGAGACACGGUCCAGACUCCUACGGGAGGCAGCAGUGGGGAAUCUUCCACAAUGGCGGAAGCCUUGCGCAGCAAAGCCGCGGUAGGGAUAAAAGGCUUCGGAUCGGAAAACUCUGUUAGUAGGGAAAAACAAGCGUCUAAUUAACUAUGCGCUUCUUGACGGGACCUAAUCAGAAAAGCACGGCUUACUACGUG